Molecule: ribosomal RNA, 252 nt
Filed under: uncultured bacterium
Lineage: Bacteria
Description: partial 16S ribosomal RNA
Rfam family: Bacterial small subunit ribosomal RNA
Source: RNAcentral
UACGUAGGGUGCAAGCGUUAUCCGGAUUUAUUGGGCGUAAAGGGUGCGUAGGCGGUCUUGUAAGUUAGAUGUGAAAGCUACAGGCUUAACUUGUAGUUGCGUCUAAAACUGCUUGGCUAGAGGAUGCUAGAGGAAAGCGGAACUCAUGGUGUAGCGGUGAAAUGCGUAGAUAUCAUGAGGAACACCAGUGGCGAAGGCGGCUUUCUAAGGCAUAUCUGACGCUGAGGCACGAAAGCAUGGGGAGCAAACAGG